This 971-nucleotide ribosomal RNA is filed under the name human gut metagenome. RNAcentral describes it as "bacterial LSU rRNA". It matches the Rfam family "Bacterial large subunit ribosomal RNA", at positions 1946 to 2925 of the family's 2925-position model. The record is from RNAcentral.
CGGUCCUAAGGUAGCGAAAUUCCUUGUCGGGUAAGUUCCGACCUGCACGAAAGGCGCAACGACUUGGGCGCUGUCUCGACCAUGGACCCGGUGAAAUUGCACUGGUCGUGAAGAUGCGACUUACCCGCGGAAGGACGGAAAGACCCCGUGAACCUUCACUGCAGCUUGGCAUUGGCCGCUGGUCCCGCGUGUAGAGGAUAGGCAGGAGGCAUCGAUCCGGAGGCGCCAGCCCCCGGGGAGCCGCCCUUGGAAUACUGCCCUCGCGCGACCGGCGUCCUAACCCGAGGCCGUCAACCGGCUCGGGGACCGUGCCAGGCGGGCAGUUUGACUGGGGCGGUCGCCUCCUAAAGGGUAACGGAGGCGCGCGAAGGUCCGCUCGGGACGGUCGGCAACCGUCCUUUUGAAUGCAAGAGUACAAGCGGGCUUGACUGCGAGGCCCACAAGCCGAGCAGGUGCGAAAGCAGGCUCUAGUGAUCCGGCGGCCCCGAGUGGGUGGGCCGUCGCUCAACGGAUAAAAGGUACUCCGGGGAUAACAGGCUGAUCUUGCCCAAGAGUCCACAUCGACGGCAAGGUUUGGCACCUCGAUGUCGGCUCAUCGCAUCCUGGGGCUGGAGCAGGUCCCAAGGGUACGGCUGUUCGCCGUUUAAAGCGGUACGCGAGCUGGGUUCAGAACGUCGUGAGACAGUUCGGUCCCUAUCCUCCGUGGGCGCAGGAGAAUCGAUGGAGGCUGCCCCCAGUACGAGAGGACCGGGGUGGACGCACCUCCGGUGAACCGGUUGUCGACCAACGGCACGGCCGGGUAGCCGCGUGCGGCGCGGAUAACCGCUGAAGGCAUCUAAGCGGGAAGCCGUUCCAGGGAUUAGUUCUCCUUCCGGUAAGGGCCCAGGUAGACUACCUGGUCGAUAGACGGCAGGUGCAAGGCUGGCGACAGCCUCAGCCGAGCCGCACUAAUCGCCCGAGCUCUUCCGGAA